RNAcentral lists this ribosomal RNA (484 nucleotides) under uncultured bacterium. RNAcentral's name for it is "partial 16S ribosomal RNA". It matches the Rfam family "Bacterial small subunit ribosomal RNA", at positions 28 to 507 of the family's 1533-position model. The record is from RNAcentral.
AUUGAACGCUGGCGGCAUGCUUUACACAUGCCAGUCGAACGGCAGCGCGGGCUUCGGCCUGGCGGCGAGUGGCGAACGGGUGAGUAAUGCAUCGGAACGUGCCCAGUAGUGGGGGAUAGCCCGGCGAAAGCCGGAUUAAUACCGCAUACGACCUGAGGGUGAAAGCGGGGGACCGAAAGGCCUCGCGCUAUUGGAGCGGCCGAUGUCGGAUUAGCUAGUUGGUGGGGUAAAGGCUUACCAAGGCGACGAUCCGUAGCUGGUCUGAGAGGACGACCAGCCACACGGGGACUGAGACACGGCCCAGACUCCUACGGGAGGCAGCAGUGGGGAAUUUUGGACAAUGGGGGCAACCCUGAUCCAGCCAUGCCGCGUGCGGGAAGAAGGCCUUCGGGUUGUAAACCGCUUUUGUUCGGGAAGAAAUCCUCUGGGCUAAUACCCCGGGGGGAUGACGGUACCGGAAGAAUAAGCACCGGCUAACUACGUG